UCAGUAUUACUAUCAACAAAUUUUAGCGCUCAUUUGAUUACCAACAUCUUAAAGUACAAAACUAUAAUUACACGAUCCGUGAAAAUACGAGAUGAAAAAUAAAUAAAAAAUAUAAUUAUUGGACGCCAACAUCUUCCAGCCAUAACUAAAUCUUCCCUGAAUGAGAUUUUUGUACUCUCUUAGGGUUGACACUCACACAAGAUGUUUCUGCCUUCUAAAACGUUUGCAUAGGUUGUCAAUGCACUUAUAAAAGCUGUGAUGAAUUACUAUAGGACAAUCAGCAUCAGUAUCACAUUUAAUAUAUUCUGCCAUUAAAAAUGUUUUACCAUCAACCCCCUUUUCAAUAAGAAAUAGGUAAAGAAAUA
RNAcentral lists this long non-coding RNA (365 nucleotides) under Medicago truncatula (barrel medic). RNAcentral describes it as "lncRNA gene35770". Lineage: Eukaryota; Viridiplantae; Streptophyta; Magnoliopsida; Fabales; Fabaceae. The record is from RNAcentral.